This 433-nucleotide ribosomal RNA is filed under the name uncultured bacterium. Its description in RNAcentral is "partial 16S ribosomal RNA". It matches the Rfam family "Bacterial small subunit ribosomal RNA", at positions 29 to 507 of the family's 1533-position model. The record is from RNAcentral.
AACGAACGCUGGCGGCAUGCCUAAUACAUGCAAGUCGAACGAGAUCUUCGGAUCUAGUGGCGCCCGGGUUCGUAACGCGUGGGAAUCUUCCCUUGGGUUCGGAAUAACUUCUGGAAACGGAAACUAAUACCGGAUGAUGACUUAAGUCCAAAGAUUUAUCGCCCAAGGAUGAGCCCGAGUAGGAUUAGCUAGUUGUUUGGGUAAAGGCCCACCAAGGCGACGAUCCUUAGCUGGUCUGAGAGGAUGAUCAGCGACACUGGGACUGGGACACGGCCCAGACUCCUACGCGAGGCAGCAGUAGGGAAUAGUGGAAAAUGGGGGAAACCAUGAUCCAGCAAUGACGGGAGAGUGCUGAAGGCAUUAGGGUUGUAAAGUGUUUGUAACCGGGAUGAUAAUGACAGUACCGGGAGAAUAAGCUACGGCUAACUACGUG